AUUGAACGCUGGCGGCAUGCCUUACACAUGCAAGUCGAACGGCAGCACGGGAGCAAUCCUGGUGGCGAGUGGCGAACGGGUGAGUAAUAUAUCGGAACGUGCCCGGUCGUGGGGGAUAACGUAGCGAAAGCUACGCUAAUACCGCAUACGAUCUACGGAUGAAAGCGGGGGAUCGCAAGACCUCGCGCGAUUGGAGCGGCCGAUAUCAGAUUAGGUAGUUGGUGAGGUAAAGGCUCACCAAGCCGACGAUCUGUAGCUGGUCUGAGAGGACGACCAGCCACACUGGGACUGAGACACGGCCCAGACUCCUACGGGAGGCAGCAGUGGGGAAUUUUGGACAAUGGGCGCAAGCCUGAUCCAGCAAUGCCGCGUGCAGGAUGAAGGCCUUCGGUUGUAACUAGCUUUG
RNAcentral lists this ribosomal RNA (406 nucleotides) under uncultured bacterium. RNAcentral's name for it is "bacterial SSU rRNA". It matches the Rfam family "Bacterial small subunit ribosomal RNA", at positions 30 to 437 of the family's 1533-position model. The record is from RNAcentral.